GACGAACGCGGCGGCGUGCCUAAUACAUGCAAGUAGAACGCUGAAGGAGGAGCUUGCUUCUCUGGAUGAGUUGCGAACGGGUGAGUAACGCGUAGGUAACCUGCCUGGUAGCGGGGGAUAACUAUUGGAAACGAUAGCUAAUACCGCAUAAUAGCAGUUAUUGCAUGAUAACUGUUUGAAAGGUGCAAUUGCACCACUACCAGAUGGACCUGCGUUGUAUUAGCUAGUUGGUGGGGUAACGGCUCACCAAGGCGACGAUACAUAGCCGACCUGAGAGGGUGAUCGGCCACACUGGGACUGAGACACGGCCCAGACUCCUACGGGAGGCAGCAGUAGGGAAUCUUCGGCAAUGGACGGAAGUCUGACCGAGCAACGCCGCGUGAGUGAAGAAGGUUUUCGGAUCGUAAAGCUCUGUUGUAAGAGAAGAAACGAGUGUGAGAAGUGGAAAGUUUCAACAACUG
RNAcentral lists this ribosomal RNA (461 nucleotides) under Streptococcus mitis. Its description in RNAcentral is "bacterial SSU rRNA". It matches the Rfam family "Bacterial small subunit ribosomal RNA", at positions 28 to 475 of the family's 1533-position model. The record is from RNAcentral. Lineage: Bacteria; Bacillati; Bacillota; Bacilli; Lactobacillales; Streptococcaceae.